AACAGAGGUUAAAGCUAAAACAACAGAAUCUGGGUACGUCUGUGUGAAGAGGUGUGGCUUUAGUGUGGAUUUGAAUAGUACACAAGUAGGCCUACGCUAUUUUUGGCCUAACUUUUUUUUAAGUGUUAUGUUUUCCCAGAUUCAUAGUGUUAUGCAGCUCAGGCCUAUCUAGGAAGGCUGGGCAUAAAUUGUUUGCUCACAGCAUCACAUGAUGACGUGGGCAACAUAAACACUUAAACUCUGUGGAUUAAAGUUAAUAGUAAUCAAAACUAAUUUCACCACGAAAGGAAGUGCAAUCGAAAUGAAUGAAGAAGACACGGUCAUUCUAGUGAGUUAAUAAAAUGACAAGGUGUUGCCUGUCAGCGUUGUAGACUACUGCCUCACAAGCCCGGGCUUUAGUGGCACUGGCAUACGCGCUUGCCUCUGUACUGAAGGAGCCACCGAACGCGUCCGCGCUGCAGCUCUCACUUUCUCCCGCUACAGUAUGUCCUACAAUGACAUAUUUGGUGGGGAUUGGCAGCCAACAAUAGGAUUGGAUUGGGACAAAAUCAAAGAAUAACACGAUAUUGAAAUGAAUAUAAUUAACAAAUAUUUCCCAGAAGAUUUUGGGUUCAACCUAAGGCUGACUAGGACAGAUCAAUCAACUUGAUCCGACACAGUAAGCCUACAUGUCAUACGUAAGUAAACCCACAAGAGAGACAAUAUUGCAAAGGCAGGACCAUGUUCGAUGGAAGGCGUAGGGGUAGGCAAUCGAAAACGUUUGACGGGGAAAUUUCUGUCAAUAUUAGCUAGUCCUACUGAGUGGGCAAGUAACCUUUCCCGCGCUCUUCCUAAAAAUACUAUUUGUGAUGUCAUAAAGGUCUAACGUUCCAUGACGUAGCAUGUAGCCCUAAAUUACAGUCCCUGCCUGCAAUAUUGUCCUCACUCUCGACCUGAACUCAAGUUGAAUGUAACCAACACAGACAAGGACAUGCUUUUUGAGAUAUAAAAUAGCUUGAAUGGAUGAAGAAAAGGUAAGCUAAAUGACUUCAUACAAUAUUGGGGGAAAGUAAAAUAGGGUAAAGCAAUCUAAGCGGAUAUUUCUUGUAAAAAGCUAUAACAUAUUGUAAAGCAAAUGUACCAUUCUUUAUAAAGUCACCAGCUUAGCUCUGAUAUGGCUGUAGCUCUAUUUAUGAUGUCCUCUGCACAGAUCUACUCUGACAUUGACAUAUUAUUACUUAUUGGAAUGUCUGUCCUUCAGGUAGCACAGAGGGAGGAUGGUGAUCCUCAGAGGGAAGGAAAGGAAGUUGUUGAGGAAGAACCGGUGGCCACGCCCAAAGAGGAGGCCAAGAAGAGAAGGAAGGCAAAAAGGAAGAGGAGUGGCAAGAAGUCAAGGAAGCUGGGCACUGACAACGAUGCAGUCUCCAGGAAUAAACACCUGGAUAGAGGAUCUGUAAUUGAGCUCCUGGAGAAGAAAGCUGUUAAGGCUGCAUUCGGCCCAGGCAACAAGGAUGAGAUGGAAUACUCCUACCCAAUCCUCAUCUCAUUCCUGCGCAAUCUUACUGAUGAGCAGUGGCAAGUGAUCUACAAAGGACUAAAAAACCCUAUGACGAAGGAACAGCUUGCCAAAUUGUGCAAGACAAUUGUAACCUUCAUCGCACAGACCACCCUGCAGAUCCUGCUGCCAGCCCUGGCCCGCGUACUUGGGGUAAAGGACUUUGCUGACGACGACACUGACUCACCCAAGAGGGGUGGUAGUGCAAGAUCCUUUGCUGCCUUUGAUCAGGAAAGACUGGAGCUCAUCCAGGAAGUUAGAUAUCUGGCGAAGAAAAUGUAUAAGGGCGGCACAGGGGCUCAACAUCUCAGGUCCCUAACACCCUCUUCUAAGAGUUCCCAGACCUCAGUGAAAGUCCACCUGGGAAUGACAGAGGACAGAAUCAUCAAAAGUGUCCAGGAGCAACUGUCUGAUCAUAAUAUCCUGUCCUCUUGCCCACCUGAGCUGACUGUUGGUCUUAUCAAGGUGGUGGUCGAACAGCUUAACUCUGCCCUCUCUGCGACCAUCAGCAGAGCCAUUUCAGGGCGGUCCUCCCCUAUUUCUUCUGGUACCCAGGCCGCUGAACAAAUGGUCAACAUGGUCCAGAAAUGUUUUGAUGAUCACACCACCCCAGAGGACCAGAGCUCUACCUCUGUAUUAGAGUCAUGCAUUCCACCUGCAACAGAAGAAGUGAUGACUGUUAUCGCAGAGAUGGUGGGUGAAUUGGAAAAAGAAGAUCCGGAAUUGGCUAAGGUUUUUCGAGAAGUGGCUGUGAAAGUUAAAAUGUUGGCAUCUGGCAGUGACCUUGUAGUGGAGCACCUGGAUGUUGAAGACUCUCCUGUUCCAGAGGAGCUGAACAUAAUAUGUACAUCUUGCAAAGCAAUGAUGCAAAAUCUUGGCACUCUGUUUAGUGUGAAGUUCAAGACCAAAGCCUCAAAGGCUGUGAGUGAAAUUCUUGUGAGAAGGUUAAUGAGCGAUAUCUCUGGUAUGGUUCAACCUUCUCAUUCGUUUAGUACCACUCCAAGCUUGAUGAAUGCAUCUAGCCCUUCUGACAGGAUCCUUGAUUCUGCGGCCACUGAGCUCAUACAGAUCAAAGUAGAAUCUGAGACAUCAAAAAUAAUUGAUAACUUUGUUGAAGAUGUCAAGGACAUUGUGCAGUAUGCUGAAUUAGAUCAGCCAACAAGCACCCAGAGAGAUACCCAAGUGGGACACUGUACGACAAAGCGGAAACCCUUCCGUGCAGCUCGUAGACUCUGCGAGAGACUUCAGGCAAAGCUGGAGACAUUGUUCCUCAGAAUGGGUGGAGCUCCAGUCCAAGGGGAAGAACUUAUGGAAAAAGCUGACUCCAGUGCUGUGCUUCUGGAGCAUACUGACUCCAGUGAUCUGCCUGUUUCAAUCCUGAGCUUGCCUUCCCCAUGUAGGAGUGAAUCCCCUAUAUCAGAACGUAGUUCAUCUUCUUUAUCUGAUGGAUGUGAUUCAACUGGCUCUGUAGGAGAGAAAACACCAGAGCAACCUGAAACCAGUAAGAGUGAGGCAAUACUGCAAGUGGUCAACUCAACAGGACUUGGUUCUCUCCGUAAAUGCCAAAGUGAGAACUCUCAACCAUUACUGUCUCUCUGUGAUUCCAACAUGGUGCCCUGCACCAAAGAGGUCUUGUCCCAGAUUGUGACCAUGUAUAGGUCAGAGGUGGCAGAUUUGGAAUGCACAUCAUCUGUUGCAGAGGGUUCCUCUUCCAACUCCCUUGAAGUCUGUGGCUUUUUGGACAGUGUCAUGUCUUAUCUAGAAGACAUGCCUGUGUCUGGUUCUUCAUGGGUGGAAGGAUUGAGAGAUACUCCAGCCUCAGUCAUUGAGAAACUCUCCAGUGAGGAGUUCCAGAUGAACGCUACCAACGAAGUGCGAAAAAUACUGAUCAAAUCAGUCAGUAGCUCUCCCAGCAAAGUCAGUUCCAGCCAGACAGAUUCUCAGAUGUUGCCAGCAAAAUCAACAAUUUCCUUAAGGCAUACAGAUAUAACUGCUUUUGAAAUCGUUGGAUCAAUUACAAAUGACAUGAAGAGCCUUUUCCCACCCCACAGAGUCUUCUACUACUCUAUGGCAGGCAGACUCUAUGCUUCAACAGAGUGAUGAGAAAACCUCAGAGUACACUGAGGCCACACCCAAAGGCUCACAGUCUGGUUUGGAAGUAUCUGAGAAGAAGAUCUGGACAACUGCAAAGACUAUUUACCACAAUGUGAAGACAAAGAUGAGGAAUUAUUUUACAUGGCAAAAUCAAGUCAAAGCAACAACGGCUCAAGCCAAAAAGACCCUCAGCCAUAUUCUGGUUUCAAUUCAGAAAGAGCUGUCAAAAUCUGACCAAACGGUGACUGCGCUUUCACAAAUAGAGAAUGUGGUUGGAAUGAUGCUGAAGGAUGUUGAAAGGGUAAGCAGUGAAUGUGGUGAGGAACUGAUCUAUCAAGCGCCACAGCGUUCUUCCUCCUCGUUGUCAUCCUCAUCUGCCAGAUCAAAGAAGUCAGAGUGGGAAUUUUCACUCCCUGGCACUCCCAUCUCUUCUGAUUUACCAGAGUGUAUUACUCAGCCCAUUGUGAGAUGCUCAGUCAUCGACAUGGGCAAAUCUACUAAGCCAAAAACAUUGGUGUGUGAUGCCAGGGAAAGCAUGUCUGCAAUAGUGGAUACCAUCAUAAAGGAGGUACAUCCAGAGGAAGAAGGGGAGGUUGCAUUCCACCCUGAUCUAACAGCUGCAAUAGCAAGACUGGAGGAGCUCAUAUCUCAGGGUAGGAUUGGUGCUCUCUCACGUGAUCUUACUCACCAAGUCAACCGCAUCAUUUCUGAGAGCAACUUGACCCCUCUGGUUCUGACAGUGGCGGCUGGAAAGAGUGCAUCCGAUACAGUCCUUACUGAGCUGAAGAGGAAUGACAAGACGGUGGGGAAGCCCACAGCUUACAAGCUGGUUCAGCUUUUUGCAGAGGAGUCUGUGAAGCGCCUCUUGCUUCCUAGCCUUGUGCCCUCUACAGCUUCAAUGAGUUUGGCUCAGGGAGUUAGUGUGCCGGCUAGCGUAUCUGAAGAUAGGAUUUCAUGUUCUUUUUCUACAUCAGCAUUUAGUGACACAGUCAGCCUGUUUACCAAAGUAAUGGUAAGCCAGGUCAUGGACUCUGUGGUUUCUGAUGCACAAAGCAGAGGGUCAUCUCCAACCGGAACUGUAACUGAUAUAGGCAGUCUACUGAGUGGUAAGUCCUACCCUCUGCCAUCUUUCUCCGCCAUCAGCAUGACAACAAGUGGGACCUCCAAUGCUGCACGAGGCUUUGAGGCCAACAUAGAUGCUGAGGAAAGGGAUACCAUCAGUUGUUUCGGUGUACCUCAGAGCAUUGUUUGUGAUCAGAAUUCAACCAGCCCGGAUGUUGCCUCGCUUUCAACCCCAUCCACUGACAACUUAGUCGGUGAUGAUGACUUCACCGGCCUCAUCAGCAUGUUAGUGGUGAGACUUCUGUCAAAAAUCCAAACCCAAACUGAUCUGUACCCAACUGACGUCACACGCACGUCACAAGACCUGAUUCCAAAAGUUAUAGCUGCCUUCUGUGCAUGGUCAGGCUGCUCUGAGACCCAAGCUUAUCCCAAGAACCUGAAGAGUCACAAAGUAUACAGCACCGUCUACAAACAUCUGUUGAAGGAGUUUGGCUCAGAGAAAAUACUCCAACUGGCCGUGUCGACUCAGGACUCCACAUUCAAUAGGAUUCUUGUGAAGUCAUUGAGCAAGGAGCUUCUCCACAGUUGUAACGAGGCAUCAAGAGCAGCCUCAAGAACAUCUUUCGAAGCCACCAGGCCAGAAGCUCUUCUCAUGGCUGAAGAUGUGAAGGCUACCAGAGGGAAGCUGUCUUUCCUACAAAGGCUUGCCAGACUGAAAUUCGACUUAAAGCCAUUCAUGAUGGGAAACAAGAAGGAUUCCAAGAAGAAUUCCCGCCAUUCUGAAUCCAAAGACCAGACUACUGCUGAAGAUAUCAUAUUGGCACAUCCUGGACUCCCAGAGGGUCUUCCCUCCACCUCUCAACAGGAGAAGCCUCGCAAACGUCCCCUUCUAAUCAGGAUGUUUUCCACCAUCUCCAUAGGCCUAUCCAAGCCAUUCAAACGGUUUUCAAAGCAAGCUUAAUACAACAAUUUCCUUUAAUACAGUAAUAUUUGCAUUGAAUUGAUGGCCUUUGUCUUCUUUUGUGUUGCCCUGUUAACACAUUUGAUUAGAAAAUACAUAGUAUAUUUAGUUUAGUUUAUUAUGCAGUCAUAGUCACGGUGUAGGCUAAACAAAGUAAUGUUGUCCUGAAUAAUGUAUAGAAUAUGCACCCCCCCCCCACCCACACACAGUGUGAUUCAUUGAACACACACACAUAGUACUUCAGAUAUGUCCCACAACCAACAUUCAACCAGAUAUCAAUGAUUCAGUGUAAAAUACAUGUACUGUAAAAUAAACCGUAUUUAAUUUACAACCAAUAAAAUAAUACAUGAUGCAGGACACUCAGUUAUAAGGGAAUUAAUUGGUUUAACUUCUCAAACAGAAAGACACACAUUUCCAUUUUCUGUGGAUCGCCCAUGUUUACAUUUUACUGAAUGCUAGUCUGACCUUUGACCUGUAGAUGGCAGUAAAGGUCUACUUUUGCUGCAGAUCCACUUCUAAAGCUCAAACCUCUCUGGACAAGAAGCUGAAACAUUUGUCCAUAGUGAGAGAGAGUAUGUGUGUGUGUGUGUGUGGCAAAAAAAGGGAAUAUUGCACUACACUUUUAUGAUACAGAUACAUUUUGCAUUCGGUAGCAUAGCACAGCUGUAGUUUUUUCAAAUGCCAAAUGUACAUGUAGCAUGCUUCUGCCUACAUAUGCUUUUCUGAGUGACUUGUGUUGUGAGAGAACCAGAAUUCAAACAUAAACUCCUGGAUUACAUUUUAUAAUAUUGUUAGCUCUUUUUAGUAACAUAUGGUAGCAUACAUGUUUCACACGGUGGCAAGUCAAGCUAGUUAGUUACAUGUAACAACAUUACAUUAUAUGGUCAAUGUUUGUGUGUAUCCUCUUAGCUUUUACCUUCGACAUCAACAAGCCGCGCACGGGCUGGUCCUGCAGACUCCCACGCCCAUGGCCCAGGAGAAGGCAGGGGGCCACCUGCUCACUCACGUCCCAGCCAUCUCCUUUGAGACCGACUCUACUGUGGAGUGCACCUCCAAGAGGACUCCGGAAGAGAGGGACCGGGUGAAGGUUAAACUGGCCAACAUGGCCUUGAUGGGAAGGAUCAAAAAGUCUUGGCUGUGAAAUGCCCAUUAUGGUUGAUUAUCAAAUUUAUCAUUUUCCACUUUUGAAACAACAAUGGGAAAGACAGGGUUUAUAGCAAAGGUUGCUCAGAUUGGGCUUUUGGAAAAAUUGAGAGAAUGAAAGUGCACUCCUGAUUCAGAGAGAAAGAUCCAGCUUAAUCAUCCAUACCAUUGUUUAAAUUACAAU
This is an RNA transcript of Oncorhynchus kisutch (coho salmon), 6978 nucleotides long. RefSeq lists it as uncharacterized. The record is from RefSeq and is a predicted model, not a curated record. The transcript has 8 exons. Lineage: Eukaryota; Metazoa; Chordata; Actinopteri; Salmoniformes; Salmonidae.